CUUAAAUGAAUUGACGGGGCCCGCACAAGCAGCGGAGCAUGUGGUUUAAUUCGAAGCAACGCGAAGAACCUUACCUAGACUUGACAUCUCCUGCAUUACCCUUAAUCGGGGAAGCCCGUUCGGGGCAGGAAGACAGGUGGUGCAUGGUUGUCGUCAGCUCGUGUCGUGAGAUGUUGGGUUAAGUCCCGCAACGAGCGCAACCCUUAUUUUAGUUGCUACCAUUCAGUUUGGGCACUCUAGCGAGACUGCCGGUAAUAAACCGGAGGAAGGUGGGAUGACGUCAAAUCAUCAUGCCCCUUAUGACCUGGGCUACACACGUGCUACAAUGGUUGGUACAACGAGUUGCGAGUCGGUGACGGCGAGCUAAUCUCUUAAAGCCAAUCUCAGUUCGGAUUGUAGGCUGCAACUCGCCUACAUGAAGUCGGAAUCGCUAGUAAUCGCGGAUCAGCACGCCGCGGUGAAUACGUUCCCGGGCCUU
This 478-nucleotide ribosomal RNA is filed under the name uncultured Lactococcus sp. RNAcentral's name for it is "bacterial SSU rRNA". It matches the Rfam family "Bacterial small subunit ribosomal RNA", at positions 900 to 1382 of the family's 1533-position model. The record is from RNAcentral. Lineage: Bacteria; Bacillati; Bacillota; Bacilli; Lactobacillales; Streptococcaceae.